Molecule: ribosomal RNA, 468 nt
Filed under: uncultured bacterium
Lineage: Bacteria
Description: partial 16S ribosomal RNA
Rfam family: Bacterial small subunit ribosomal RNA
Source: RNAcentral
GACGAACGCUGGCGGCGUGCUUAAUACAUGCAAGUCGAACGGACAGGCCCUGCUUUUGCGGGGUGCUCGUGUGGCGCACGCGUGAGUAUCACGCGAGUAUCACCCCCCUGUCUUUGGGAUAACUUUACGAAACUGGGGCUCAUACCGGAUAGGAGCUAUUGCUGCACGGUGGGGGUUGGAAAGUUUCGGCGGUUCGGGAUGGACUCGCGGCAUAUCCACUUGUUGGUGGGGUAGUGGCUUACCAAGGCUUUGACGGGUAGCCGGCCUGAGAGGGUGACCGGCCACAUUGGGACUGAGAUACGGCCCAGACGCCUACGGGAGGCAGCAGUGGGGAAUAUUGCACAAUGGGCGGAAGCCUGAGGCAGCAACGCCGCGUGCGGGAUGACGGCCUUCGAGCUGUGAACCGCUUUCGCCUGUGACGAAGAGUUAGUGACGGUAAUGGGUAAAGAAGCACCGGCUAACUACGUG